CCUACGGGUGGCAGCAGUGGGGGAUAUUGCACAAUGGGGGGAACCCUGAUGCAGCGACGCCGCGGGGGUGAAGGAGCGUUUCGGCGCGUAAAGCCCUAUCGGCAGGGAAGAAGAUGACGGUACCUGACCAAGAAGCCCCGGCUAAAGACGUGCCAGCAGCCGCGGUAAUACGUAGGGGGCAAGCGUUAUCCGGAUUGACUGGGGGUCAAGGGGGCGCAGACGGCAAUGCAAGCCAGGUGUGAAAGCCCGGGGCCCCACCCCGGGACUGCUCUUGGAACUGCAUGGCUGGAGGAAAGGAGGGGCAUGCGGAAUUCCUAGUGUAGCGGUGAAAUGCGGAGAUAUUAGGAGGAACACCGGUGGCGAAGGCUGCCUGCUGGACUGUGACUGACGUUGAGGCCCGAAGGCGUGGGGAGCAAACAGGAUUAGAUACCCCAGUAGUC
Molecule: ribosomal RNA, 440 nt
Filed under: uncultured bacterium
Lineage: Bacteria
Description: partial 16S ribosomal RNA
Rfam family: Bacterial small subunit ribosomal RNA
Source: RNAcentral